GUGUUUUUCAAAAUCCAGCAGUUCCCUGGAUGCUGUUGCUUCUUCCUGCUGAGUUCCCAGAGGAAGGAGCAACUCUGGCAUUGCCAGGCUGGUUUGCAAGUGAUCGUCACUUAUAUAGUGACACAAAUAUUUUAAUUCCUGCAUGCAAUUUGUGAAUGUUUUCUUUAUAUUUUCUUUGUAGGACGUGCAUCCAAACACCUUUCCUGUGCCAGCUUACCCAGUUAACCAGCACCCUCAGCAGGCUUUCCAGCAGCCCUACUACUCCCCAGCACAGUACCCAGUGCAGCAGCCACAGAGGGUGCCCAGCAGGUCACCGCCCCCGCAGCAGAAGCUCCUACCUCAGGGAGUGCCGGCUCAGCAGAAGUGUUUACCUCAGGGACAGUUCUUCCCUUCCCGGCCGGCGCCUCUGCCUCCCAAGUAGCUUCUGCCUCGGUGGGCCUGUGGGCUGAGCUGCUGCUGCUGCACAGCCGGAGCUGCAUUCCCCUCCUGGCACCCAGGGCAGUGCCAGCAGCCCCCUGCUGCAGAGAGACCCAAACCAGGAAUGCAGGACUGCACACUCACUAAAUACCUCGACCAAAGCUCCAGGGGCUGAGUCACCCAGCCCCUCCCUUGCUCUGUCCAAGCUUUGCUGCUGCGGCCAGGCUGGCAGCAGGAGUGCAGCAGCCUGCAGGGAAAUGGUCCUGAAAUGCAGCACGUGGGUUUGGGUUUCCCCAUUUCUGCCACGAGCUCUGGUAAGGAAAUUGUCUGAUUUGUUGUUGUCUCUCUGACUGUGCAGUGAGGAGUUGGAGUUUGCAAAUCAAGGAGAUCUAGUCAGAUUUUCAGUUACUCUGCAUGGACUGGAAAGUGUUUCCCAUGUACACCUUAAUGGCAUAAAUGGAAUGAGGUCUCAGAGGACUUUUUCAGGAAGAGAGAUAUAUUUUAAACAUGUUUAUGCAUGUAUAUAUGUUUAUAGAUGCAUAAUAAUGCACUUAAAUUCUUAACUCCAUGCUGACUGACACGAAGCUGUGCUGUAGGAGCACUGAGUCUAAUGCUUUUAAAUUAGAGAGUGGCUAAAUGAGACUCCUGUACUAAUCCCCACUAAUACAUGAUGGGCAGUGGAGGUAAAGGUACGAGAAGACACGGCCAUAUUCUGGUUUUAAAAAAGGGGGUGCUGUUAGGUUUUAAUUCAGGUCUAAAGACAGCAGCAGUCCCUGCAGAACACUGGGAAGUGUCUCUGCCUGGACCACCAGAGCUUCUCUGAGUACUGGGAACGGGAGCCUGGUGACUGAUGCACCCCUCUUUCAACACCCAAUCCCUUGUAGUGUCAGUCAGGAAGCUUCUGGGCUCCUGGGUGUCAGACUAGACUCCCUCUGCUCCUGCACCACGGGCUAGACUGGGGUUUGGAGCUCCUGAGCAGAGUGCUCAGCACCUACUGUGCUUGGAGAGGGAGCUGUAGAUCCUGGUCCUGUGGUGCCGUGGGUAGGAGCUGGAUGUCGUGGUCACAAAUGGGAAUCUAUUGCACAACUUGCUAAGAGUGAGGCUCUGUUGCACAAACUUGCUAAAAGAUAAUGCUGAAGAGUGUGCUGGGCUGUUGUACUCUGUGCUCGCCACAAGCACAGCUCAAUCUGUAAAAUCCCCUAAUAUUGCCAAAAAAUAAUCUUUUCCUCUGUAUAUACAUACAUAAAUAUAUAUAUAGUGUGUGCAGUAAUAAAAUACUUGAACUCCUGUGGUUUCCCAUAAAAUUAGAUUUAUAACACUAUUAAAAUCUGUAAAAUGUCACCUAGAAUUUCACCAACUGUACUCUAGGGGGUCUUCUUUUUGUUCCAAGAUAAUCAGUUCCUUCCUAAUUGCGUUGCUGUGCCCCGCUCUGCCCGAGCAGGCUGUUUGUCUGUCUGUCUGUCUGUCUGUCUGUGUGUCUGUCACAAGGAGCUCUGCAGCUGCCUGCAGCCCAGCCCCAGCCCUGCUCAGAGGGUGGGGAGAGGAGGGGAUCUGGGGGCCGGAGCCAUCCAGAGGGAUGUGCUGAGUGUGUGAGCUCAGCUGUGCUGAGCACGGUGCCUUUACAAGACAGAGAGAUUCUGUUCUCCCGGCCCCGCUGGCAUCGCUGCAGGUGCUGAGGGCAGGGAUGUGUGGUUCUGGAGCCAUCCCAAGGACAGGAAUAACUCUGGAUUUUGGUGUUGGGUACUGAGGAUGACUACUGGACUACUGCCUUUGUUUCAUGAAGUGUAUGAUGCCUGUCCCGGGCAGGGCUGGGGCUGCACAGCCACGUUCACCUCCACAGCCCCUGGCCAAAGGGCUGAUCCCAACCCCUCUGUACAGACCCAACGAGCAAUAAAGAUCCCACUUUUGUACAAGUGUCUGCCUCGGCCUGUGCUUGGGGGGAGGGAGGGGCAGUUACCUGUGGGGCUGUGUUGCUGUACAGGGCUGUGGAC
This 2408-nucleotide long non-coding RNA is filed under the name Ficedula albicollis (Collared flycatcher). Its description in RNAcentral is "lncRNA (ENSFALG00000024725.1)". The record is from RNAcentral. Lineage: Eukaryota; Metazoa; Chordata; Aves; Passeriformes; Muscicapidae.